This is a long non-coding RNA of Drosophila sechellia, 752 nucleotides long. RefSeq lists it as uncharacterized. The record is from RefSeq and is a predicted model, not a curated record. The transcript has 2 exons. NCBI's taxonomy places the organism in Eukaryota, Metazoa, Arthropoda, Insecta, Diptera, Drosophilidae.
CGGAGCUUUGACUUUUGGUAUGCCACCAUACUGUUGUUGCAGCCGCUGCCGGUGAUGGAGGCCCCAAAAGUAGUAGUAGCUACAUUUGUUGUGCAUAAGUACCGUAUGCACCGAAGACCUCCGUAACAUUAGAGUUGAAUUUCUUGCAUAGCCCGAUUUGGCUGGAGAACCUAAAAAUUACCACCGGCAUCACUGUUAGCGUAAAUCUUCGUUUAAAGAAGUACCGAAAUGCAACAACAAACGCUGCAGACAAAAGGAACAAUUUGCUGACGUCACGCCGGUAUGCUACGACAGGCAAACAAAAUUGAGAGUGAUUUGAGGCCGAAAAAUCAGGUGGAAAAUCGGGUAAUAAAAUUAUUGAGGAAAUAACGAGAACGUGGGGAAAAUACUUAGCCUGGCUAGAAAUGUACAUAUAGAUAUUGUAGUUUUGUUUAUUUCAUCAUUUUCAAUAUACAUAUUUCAUUACAUCUAAGACAUAACAUGUGAUUUGUAAAGAAAAAUACUAACAAAUAAUGUAUUAAGUAUAACAUAAGUAUAGAUAACUUUUUUAAUCUUACCAAUUAUCUUAUGCACCUUUAUAAAUUUCAUAUACGACUCUCAGUUGAAUCAAAAGUAGUUUCCCAUUUCUCUCCAUUAUUCAUUACCAAGUUUUAAGCCAAUGAAAAUGAAUUUUUGAUCUACAUAUGUAUGUAUAAUUCCCAAUUAGGCCGCACAAUAAAGAAUGCUGACUAAACGAGGCACAACCUUUUAAA